AUGGUCAAAUCAUGUUGAAACACCAGUUCUCAUAUGAUCACUGAAGUUAAGCAGUAUUGAGUCUGGUCAGUACUUUUGUUGGCAACCACUUGGGAAUACCAGGUGCUGUAAG
Acanthosepion pharaonis is the source of this 112-nucleotide non-coding RNA. The record is from the annotation of a GenBank genome assembly. NCBI's taxonomy places the organism in Eukaryota, Metazoa, Mollusca, Cephalopoda, Sepiida, Sepiidae.